AUCUGCUUCUGCUCUGUUUCGCGUCGGGCUUCCAAUAUACUUUUGCACCGACAACCACUGCCUCCCCUUUCGAAAGGCUGGCCUUGGAGCAUCCGAGGUUGUCGUGAAGGACAAAGAACAUCUGUGGGCACCGGGAAGCCCACAGGGAGAAAAUGGAGGGUGAUUUUAAAACACGCCUUGGACAUCAGCAGGGUUAGGGAGCGAGCACAGCCGGUGAGUGCCCAGGGUGGGGUGAGGGCCUGCUGACGCGUGGGCCCUCUCUGCUCCCUGGACGGCUCCCCCACCCAGGCCCAGCCUGACCCCCGCUGAGGUCCUGGGGAGGCUGUGGGGCAAAUGGAAGGCAAGCUAGGCCCUGAGGCUCUGCCCUGCCCUCCCCGUGUGGCCCGGAGGAGGAGGCCGGGUGGGGAAAGAAAUCAGAGGGGUCUGCAGCUAAAACCCCUGCGUCUGCUUAAUAAACCAUGACCCGAUGAUCAUCUCUACCUUCAGAGGCCAGAAGAAUCUCCCUGUCUGAUUUCAGAGGAAGAGGCAGAGGGAGGUAGGCUCCAUCUGUUCAAGUGGUAGAAUAAGGAAAUGAGGGGACGUCUGCUUUUGAGCAAGGUGUCUAAGAGAAAGCAGAAUAGUCCCAGGGCCUUGGGACUCCACUGAGGGCGGGAGCCACCAAUCAGGCAGAAAUGGCAGGGGCCCCACAGGGCAGGACCGACCAGAGGGGACACAGAGUUUCUCUCUGACCAUCGCACACAUCAACACAUCUGCAGCAAGUACCCCCUGGAGGGACGGUGUCUUUUAAGGCCUGCCCCCUUAUGCCAAAGCAAGCCCACAACCAAGUCCCAGUCUGUGCGGAGCGCUGCUCCCCCUUCAGUGAGAAGGCCUGUGAAGCCACAGGACACAGGUCAUGGUCCAGAAAAGGUAAAGGCUGAGACCACUGAUGCAAUUGGUCAUGUCAGUAUGGGUACGUUUGUGGCCAAAUGGGUACUUUUAUUCUCUGCAAGUGAGAGUACUUGCUGAAAACUGAAAACUGAAAACGUUUUGGAGGCAGGUUGGUGGCGUUUGUUAAGACUGUAAAAUGCAUAUCCAUUAUGAGGAGUUCAUCACGUAGAUAUAUUUAGCCACAACACCCAGAGAGGCGCAGGAUAGUUUGUAGACGGGAAAAAAAAAAUCCAAGUCAAGAAGGGACCUGAAAUUGACAAGUUAGGUAGAAAAUGAGGAGAAAAUGAGUCAGGUGUGCAUGUGAUGACACGGAAUGAUCUUUACGAUAUUUUAUAAAGUGAAACUAAGUUAAAGAGUAGUGUAUUGAUAUCAUUUAUAUAAACAUAAAGGACAUGCUAUGGGUGUGAAAUAAACUGUUGACAGUGGUGAAGAGUAGACAGCAGAUCAGGCUUUUAUUUUAUACCUUUCUGUGCUACUUGACCUUUUUUCCUCCUUGUGCACGUAUUACACUUCUAAUUAAAACAAAAUUGGUUUGGUAACCGUUCUGUAUUCAUCUUAAAGCCUCAGUGAUUUCGAAGCAAACAUUUCUCAGAAUCUUGGAACUUUUACUUUUGAAGUUUGCAUCUUAGGCUGUAACCAUGCUGUGACUCGGGAGCUAAAUCCGGUCGACCCACACUCAAGAGAAAUACUUGACCGCUAGUAAGCGAAGAGAUAGCCCAACGUUCUGUACGCUCCUGAUUUCUACGUGUUCCACCUGUCUGGUCAGCAUAUCAGAAUCUUCUCUCGACUCAGAGAACCAAGUAUGCAUUACAAGGCGAUGUACAACCUCUCCUGGAUUUCAGACCCUCGAUGUCAGUUGUUGUUGUGAUCUCAUUUGGAUCCUUGCUGUGCACACGAGGUGCCUACACAACACACUACCAUAUUAUUAUGCAGCCCAGACCUUGUGGGUUUGCAGAAUAGCAAAAAGGUCAGAAGUGGAAUGAAAUGAAUAUUCUCCGACUGUCCCGUGCCGACGAGAACUCCUGCUCAUUCAUCAUUCUGGGUCUGAGAGCUGGCAGAGGACCCGGAAGCUGGAAGAGGAUGGAUGGAGCCCUGGAGGGGGACUCUCCCUCAGGCAGACACGAAAAGCCAGUCAGAUAAGCGGAGGUGUGUCCUUGCCUUUCUCCAGACCAACUUUCCUCUAGACCCCGUUGUCUGUGGGCCAGGACCUGAUGGUGCCUCUUAGUGGCAGACCCUCAGCCUUCACUCCUCUGGGACACUCCAGGCUGCCACCAGCCAUGCUCUCUGUGAUCAUUCUUUCCGAAUCAUAGUCCCUGGCAUGGGCUUUGCAAAUAUUUUGAUGGAACUGAGAAGUAUUUUAGUUCCUUAUAUGAACCAGAUAGUAGAGGGUUGAAUGGUGGUCCCCACCCCCCCCCCCCAAGUUUACACCUAUGUCUUAAUCUUUGGCACCUGCGAGUGUGACCUUAUUUGGAAAAAGGGUCUUUGCAGAUGUCAUUGGGGUCAGGAUCUCAAGAGGAGAUUAUCCUGGGUAACCCUAGGGGGCCCUGGAUCCAAUGACAAGUGUCCCUACAAGAGACAGGAGAGAAGACCAUGUGACAAGAGAGGCAGAGAUUAGAAGAAGGGUGGGGCCACAGGCAUAAGACACCUGCAUCUGGAAGAGGCCGGGAAGGCCUCCUCUAGACCUUUCAUUCGUGUCAUCCUCGCUUCCAGAACUUUGGGAAUAUACAUUUUUGUUGUUUUAAGCCACUUCGUUUGUGACACUUGGGGGUAACUCUAGCAAACUAAUAUAUGCCCCCAAAAUAGGUCUUAGUUUUCAUUUUUGUUUUAGUUUUCCUUACAAAUAAAUUUCUUGCAAAAAUU
This is a long non-coding RNA of Felis catus (domestic cat), 2787 nucleotides long. RefSeq lists it as uncharacterized. The transcript is spliced from 2 exons. Lineage: Eukaryota; Metazoa; Chordata; Mammalia; Carnivora; Felidae. The record is from RefSeq and is a predicted model, not a curated record.